UACAGAGGGGGCAAGCGUUGUUCGGAAUUACUGGGCGUAAAGGGCGCGUAGGCGGCCUGUUAAGUCGAACGUGAAAUCCCCGGGCUCAACCCGGGAACUGCGUCCGAUACUGGCAGGCUUGAAUUCGGGAGAGGGAUGUGGAAUUCCAGGUGUAGCGGUGAAAUGCGUAGAUAUCAGGAGGAACACCGGUGGCGAAGGCGGAUCUCUGGGCCUUACCUGACGCUGAGGCGCGAAAGCUAGGGGAGCAAACAGG
RNAcentral lists this ribosomal RNA (253 nucleotides) under uncultured bacterium. RNAcentral's name for it is "partial 16S ribosomal RNA". It matches the Rfam family "Bacterial small subunit ribosomal RNA", at positions 524 to 776 of the family's 1533-position model. The record is from RNAcentral.